AGAGUUUGAUCAUGGCUCAGAAUCAACGCUGGCGGCGUGCCUAACACAUGCAAGUCGAACGCGAAAGCCCCGCAAGGGGUAAGUAGAGUGGCAAACGGGUGAGUAACACGUGGGUGACCUGCCUUCGAGUGGGGGAUAACCUUCCGAAAGGAGGGCUAAUACCGCAUGACAUACCGUGUUUGGAUACAUGGAUAUCAAAGCCGGGGAUCGCAAGACCUGGCGCUUGAAGAGGGGCCCGCGUCCGAUUAGCUAGUUGGUGGGGUAACGGCUCACCAAGGCUCCGAUCGGUAUCCGGCCUGAGAGGGCGGACGGACACACUGGAACUGAGACACGGUCCAGACUCCUACGGGAGGCAGCAGUGGGGAAUUGUUCGCAAUGGGCGAAAGCCUGACGACGCAACGCCGCGUGGAGGAUGAAGAAUUUCGGUUCGUAAACUCCUUUCGACCGAGAUGAAUAUCCGCCGACUUAACACGUCGGCGGACUGACAGUAUCGAGAGAAGAGC
This 503-nucleotide ribosomal RNA is filed under the name uncultured Acidobacteriaceae bacterium. Its description in RNAcentral is "bacterial SSU rRNA". It matches the Rfam family "Bacterial small subunit ribosomal RNA", at positions 8 to 490 of the family's 1533-position model. The record is from RNAcentral. Lineage: Bacteria; Pseudomonadati; Acidobacteriota; Terriglobia; Terriglobales; Acidobacteriaceae.